Molecule: ribosomal RNA, 465 nt
Filed under: uncultured bacterium
Lineage: Bacteria
Description: bacterial SSU rRNA
Rfam family: Bacterial small subunit ribosomal RNA
Source: RNAcentral
CCUACUGGUGGCACCAGUGGGGAAUAUUGCACAAUGGGCGCAAGCCUGAUGCAGCCAUGCCGCGUGUAUGAAGAAGGCCCUAGGGUUGUAAAGUACUUUCAGUCGGGAGGAAGGCGUUGAUGCUAAUAUCAUCAACGAUUGACGUUACCGACAGAAGAAGCACCGGCUAACUCCGUGCCAACAGCCGCGGUAAUACGGAGGGUGCAAGCGUUAAUCGGAAUUACUGGGCGUAAAGCGCACGCAGGCGGUUGAUUAAGUUAGAUGUGAAAUCCCCGGGCUUAACCUGGGAAUGGCAUCUAAGACUGGUCAGCUAGAGUCUUGUAGAGGGGGGUAGAAUUCCAUGUGUAGCGGUGAAAUGCGUAGAGAUGUGGAGGAAUACCAGUGGCGAAGGCGGCCCCCUGGACAAAGACUGACGCUCAGGUGCGAAAGCGUGGGGAGCAAACAGGAUUAGAUACCCUCGUAGUC